Molecule: ribosomal RNA, 403 nt
Filed under: uncultured bacterium
Lineage: Bacteria
Description: bacterial SSU rRNA
Rfam family: Bacterial small subunit ribosomal RNA
Source: RNAcentral
UAGGGAAUAUUAGUAAUGGGCGAAAGCCUGAACUAGCAACGCCGCGUGUGCGAAGAAGGCCUUCGGGUUGUAAAGCACUUUUUGAGAGGAUGGGGAAGGACGGUACUCUCAGAAUAAGUCUCGGCUAACUACGUGCCAGCAGCCGCGGUAACACGUAGGAGGCAAACGUUAUCCGGAUUUACUGGGCGUAAAGCGCGUGUAGGUGGCUUGGUAAGUAGGGCGUGAAAGCUCCUGGCUCAACUGGGAGAGGCCGUUCUAAACUGCCGAACUAGAGGAUGGUAGAGGGAGGUGGAAUUCCGGGUGUAGCGGUGGAAUGCGCAGAUAUCCGGAGGAACACCAGUGGCGAAAGCGGCCUCCUGGACCAUUCCUGACACUCAGACGCGAAAGCUAGGGUAGCAAACGG